Molecule: ribosomal RNA, 490 nt
Filed under: uncultured bacterium
Lineage: Bacteria
Description: bacterial SSU rRNA
Rfam family: Bacterial small subunit ribosomal RNA
Source: RNAcentral
GAUGAACGCUAGCGGCAGGCUUAACACAUGCAAGUCGAGGGGCAGCGCGAUGUAGCAAUACAUUGGCGGCGACCGGCGCACGGGUGCGUAACACGUAUGGAAUCUGCCCUGUACUGGAAGAUAACCCGGCGAAAGUCGGACUAAUAUCCCAUAAUAGCCGAGGUGGCAUCACCUUGGUUUGAAAGCUCCGGCGGUACAGGAUGACCAUGCGCACGAUUAGCUAGUUGGUGAGGUAACGGCUCACCAAGGCUACGAUCGUUAGGGGCCUGAGAGGGUUAUCCCCACACUGGUACUGAGACACGGACCAGACUCCUACGGGAGGCAGCAGUGAGGAAUAUUGCGCAAUGGAGGCAACUCUGACGCAGCCAUGCCGCGUGCAGGAAGAAGGCGCUACGCGUUGUAAACUGCUUUUAUUCCGGGAAGGAAACCCCACGGACGUGUCCUGGGUUGACGGUACCGGAGGAAUAAGCACCGGCUAACUUCGUGCCAG